AAGGAGUCUAACAUAUCUGCGAGUAUUUGGGUGUGAAACCCGAGAGCGCAAUUAAAGGUAACGUAGGACCCACGCGCAAGCUGCAGCUUCGACCGAUCUUGAUCUUUUGUGAUUGAUUUGAGUAAGAGCAUAUAUGUUGGGACCCGAAAGAUGGUGAACUAUGCCUGAAUAGGGCGAAGCCAGGGGAAACUCUGGUGGAGGCUCGUAGCGAUUCUGACGUGCAAAUCGAUCGUCAAAUUUGGGUAUAGGGGCGAAAGACUAAUCGAACCAUCUAGUAGCUGGUUCCUGC
Molecule: unclassified non-coding RNA, 289 nt
Filed under: uncultured fungus
Lineage: Eukaryota; Fungi
Description: partial contains 5.8S rRNA, ITS2 and 28S rRNA
Rfam family: Eukaryotic large subunit ribosomal RNA
Source: RNAcentral